This is a long non-coding RNA of Corvus hawaiiensis (hawaiian crow), 3735 nucleotides long. RefSeq lists it as uncharacterized. The record is from RefSeq and is a predicted model, not a curated record. Lineage: Eukaryota; Metazoa; Chordata; Aves; Passeriformes; Corvidae. The transcript is spliced from 2 exons.
AGCCCUGCCGGGGGCUAUUGGUCGCCCCGAGGAAGGAGCCGGGAUGGCAAGCGGGAUCCUAUCAUCAGGCUGCAUAAUAACCCCGGGCUCGCCACAGCUGCGCUGUGACCCUUUGUGAUGGAGCUGAUAGCGCUCCCGUGAAAUAAUGUCCUCCUUUUGGGUGUGAAAUCACCAUGUUUAUUAAUUGAGCUAGACAUGAGGGUUACCUUUUUCUUUCCAAGCCAUGAAAAUUUGUGAUUCAGGGCAAAUGGUUCCCCCUUCCCACUCAAGUUGUGUUGCCAAGGGGUUGAGAGAGAAGGACCAGCUGGGGAGAAGAGCUAUUUUGGAAGGUCGAGAGAGACUGAGCUCUACGGCAAGUUCAGAGUAGAUUCAUGCGCAGACACCCCACACCUCGCUCAACCGCAAAAGCAGUCCCCAGGCAAGCACCGCGGGGAAAUACCAAACUCAUUCCCAAAGGAUGGAAGCCGGGGUGGGGAGGGAUGCGCCCCUCGUAGCCUGCCCUGGCCGUCCCGCGUGGGGAUGCGCGGCGCCCCACGCCGCGGUUACCGCGCAGCCCCACGCACGCACUUUAGGAGGUGGGCCGUGCCGAAAGAGUACGGCGACUGUCUCCACACGCACUUUCCUUUCUUUUUUGGUUUGUGGUUUGUUUUUUUUUUUUUUUUUUUUUUUUGCUUUGCAAUUAGGCUUGUAACGAGCUUAUUGCAGUAUGUUCUUCUGGGCCAAUAAUACUUGUAUUUAACCUAAUUAAAGACGACCUUUUAAAAUAUCUGAAAUACAAACACGCCUUUUUUUUUUUUUUUUUUUUUUUUUUUUUCUUUUCCCUCUCCCCCCUCCUUUCCUACUCUGGUUUAACAAUUUAACGUUUGACUCUCCGGGCUGGAACACGCAACCUUUCACCAGAGCACGAUGAGAGAGAGGGAGGCGGAAAGUAGCAAAAACCUGCGAAUGAGGCGGAGGGACUGGCUUUUCCCAAGCGUCCGCGACACGCUUCCAGACAGAGCAACCCCAGCCCGGUACUGCUCGGCGGCCCUUUUGUUCCCGGUGGGGAGACCCGGUCUGGCUCGGCUCGGCCCGCCGGGGCUGCGGGGAGCCCGGUCCUCCCCUCCCUCCUCUCGCCGGAGCGGGGACGUGAUAAAAGGAGACAGGGCUCUGAAAGGAUUUGAUUGAAAUGGCGUGUGCCAAGCUGAUGGGAGCCAGCGAGGGACAAAGCGCCGAGGAGCUAUGGACACUCGAGCAAUUAUUCCUCCACGCUGAAGGUGGAUUAGUGCAAUGGAAAGAAGCAUAUGUUCGGCCUGGGGCGACACUCCCCCUGGCUGGGUUUAGAGAAUGAGAGCGGAGAAAGAGGCUGAACCUGGAAUAUCAACUAUCCGGGAGACAGCCCACCCCACCCCCUCUUAUCCCAGCCUCUCCAAAAGUCUCAGGGAUGGAGACAUAAAUAUACACGCCCAUAAAGAUGAAUAGAUAGAUACAAACAAACACACAAACACCCAAAAAUACAGAUGCACACGCACCUCUAGGUACAGCCACACACGCGCACACGGCGCUGCACACCGGCUCUGCACAGAUAGGCGGGAGCAAGAGGCGCCCUAGGUGGAAAACCUCCCCGGGUAUGACAAUGCGAACAAAUAAACAGUUGGCCUCCAAGAAGGUCAUAGCAGCAGCCAGUUCUGCUGGAGGCUCCAGUUUCCCCAGACCUUUCCCAGGAAACUUUCCAAAAGCAGCUGCAGCAAGGAAUGGGGUGAUCUCCAUAACCCCCUACCGGGACCAUGUCCAGGCCCUCCUGGAAACACAAAGCAAAACCUCAAUCGCCCUUUUUCCACCUGAUUUUCUUCUAAGCCACAGCCACCUCCUGUUCUCUUUCCCUAGCUCCCUGCAAAACCCCAUCCUUUCCAGCAGGAUAGCUGCAAGUUCUCUCAAGGGCAUUAGGAUGGGAAGAAGCCCCAGCAGCCAGCCUGCCAGCAGCCAGCCUGCCAGCCCCCAUCCCAAACACCAGCAUGCCAGGAACAGCCUGCAUCAAGGCUCCGUGGCAAUGGGACACCCAUCAACUGCUGUCCUGGAUCAUCUACACCCAUACACAGGCUCCAAAACUCAGGCAGGCACAGCAGGAGCACAUUUUUAGCACUAAUACAGUGUAGCUUGUUAGGCCUAAUGAGGAAAAAGAGCACUGAGGCCAGGCACAGCCCCUGCUUUCCUCCCAGCACUGCCCCACUGGCCUCCCCCUGCCUGGGCGCACCAGCACGUGAUGCAGUGUGGGGUGUCUCCCCAGCUGUUGUCCAAGCCAUCCCGCUUGCAGGGCAGAGAGAUAAACUCCACCACAAGAGAGGAGGAGACAGGACAAGCACAGGGAGCAGCAUCAGAGGGCAAGGAGGACAAGCUGGAGGGAAGGGCGCCUCCAGCAAACUUUAAAAGGAGGGAGGGAGAUAGAAGGAAGAGAAGGGAAUACAGCUCUUUCCUUCUCCUGGGAGCCCUGAAAAAUGCUCUGCUCUACAACCAGAAACAUGCCCCAAAUAUUUCACAUCGCCACUUCUUUAUCCUUAGCUUUGGGGAUCAGGAUGGACCAUACACAGAGAAAAGGGGGCCAGCUCUGACCAAAGCAGUGCUGAGGCAGGAAGUUCUGCAGGAUGAACAAGCAGGUAGGAACAUAACCAAAAACGCUGUACAGAAGCAAUAUACAUCCCUCAACCUGCGAGUGUAACUGCACAGCUCACACUCCCGCUAGAAAGCAACUCUCUAUUCAGAGCCCCUGCAUCUGCUUUCAAUCAAGUAUUACAAAGGGAAUUAACUAUACCACAGGCAGCAACAGCAGUGGGGCUUGAGAGCAUCUCUGGACAGAAAAGGUCUUCAUGUAGAGGCUGCAGAUCUCCUACAGAAAAUAGGAUGUGUGUGUGUGUGCACAACAUGCUCAAGGAACAACGUGGUGAAAUGGCUUGCACUUCACACCCAACAGUCCUCCACCCUCCUGCUGAGCACAAGACAAUUUCUUCCUCACCUAGGCUUUCCCAGUUUCCCCUCCUUGCCCUUGUUUGAAGAUCCUCUGUGCAAAUGAGCUCUGUGACUACAAACAGGACAAUAACCAUGGAGCUUAGAGUAACCUCAGGGCCCUAGUUUUGAGAGGGAGGGACUCAUGGGGAAACCACAGGCUUUAGGUGCCAGCAUGUGCCUUGCAAAAUCAGAGCCUGAAAGAAAAGUGCCACAGGGAAACAGCGGGUCCCUCCUACACUACCAGAAAGCUCUCGAUAGUCUUAUCCUGAUUUCCACACUACAUUCACUCAGUGAAGAUGCUCUAAUCGCUCUAUUGGUAUGAUAAAAAUUUUGGGCCACCAAAGUUGAACUCAGCAUCAGAGAGACAUGACUACAGUGGUUGUAAGAGGGAAUAAAAGACAGAUUUGUCACCUUCAUAUCUACAUCACCAGAAAGAAGUAACAGUUCAAGAAUACAAAUAUUCUACAAAUAGCCACCAUAAGCUAUAUGUCUGUUUACCCUGCCUGAAAUAUCAGCUGUUUCAUCCACCCAAGAAAGCCUAGGAACAUUAACUAGAAGAAGAAAAACAAGGCUAUUUUGCUAUUCUGAAGCCAGUAAAGCUCUGCUAGUAAUGGGUCAUAAAAGACUUUCACUUUUCCUCUGUUUCCAAAUGCUUGCUUUAAACUACUUCUUUUCGGGACUCUGGGGUUACUAAACUGAAUACUGCAAGUGGAGAGGUUGCAGCCUAUGCAGAAUAAAUGAUUUAAGAACUGG